Molecule: small nuclear RNA, 134 nt
Organism: Diprion similis
Lineage: Eukaryota; Metazoa; Arthropoda; Insecta; Hymenoptera; Diprionidae
Product: U11 spliceosomal RNA
Exons: 1
Source: RefSeq, a predicted model, not a curated record
AAAAAGGGUGCUCGUCACUUUAAUGACGCGUCCGAUACAUAUUGUUUCGGUGGGGUAUGGCUAUCAAGACAUACCCAGUACGUAAUUUUUGAUAACGUGAGGCUGUUGGCUGCCACUUUAGCACCGGCGCCUCC